CAGGCGCGAAAACUUUACAAUGCGGGAAACCGCGAUAAGGGGACACCGAGUGCCAGCAUCCUAUGUUGGCUGUCCAUAUGUAUAAAUCACAUGUGUUAGCAAGGGCCGGGCAAGACCGGUGCCAGCCGCCGCGGUAACACCGGCGGCCCGAGUGGUGGCCACUAUUAUUGGGUCUAAAGGGUCCGUAGCCGGUUUGGUCAGUCUUCCGGGAAAUCUGACGGCUUAACCGUUAGGCUUUCGGGGGAUACUACCAGGCUUGGGACCGGGAGAGGUAAGAGGUACUACGGGGGUAGGAGUGAAAUCUUGUAAUCCCCGUGGGACCACCAGUGGCGAAGGCGUCUUACCAGAACGGGUCCGACGGUGAGGGACGAAAGCUGGGGGCACGAACCGGAUUAGAUACCCGGGUAGUCCCAGCUGUAAACUAUGCUCGCUAGGUGUCAGGGACGGUGCGACCGUUUCUGGUGCCGC
Molecule: ribosomal RNA, 468 nt
Filed under: uncultured Methanosarcinaceae archaeon
Lineage: Archaea; Methanobacteriati; Methanobacteriota; Methanomicrobia; Methanosarcinales; Methanosarcinaceae
Also listed under: 1 other name
Description: bacterial SSU rRNA
Rfam family: Archaeal small subunit ribosomal RNA
Source: RNAcentral